CCCUUAGAUGUCCGGGGCCGCACGCGCGCUACACUGAAGGAAUCAGCGUGGCUUUCUCCCUGACCCGAAAGGGUUGGGAAACCCGUUGAAUCUCCUUCGUGAUAGGGAUUGGGGCUUGAAAUUGUUCCCCAUGAACGAGGAAUUCCCAGUAAGCGCGAGUCAUAAGCUCGCGUUGAUUACGUCCCUGCCCUUUGUACACACCGCCCGUCGCUACUACCGAUUGAACGGUUGAGUGAGGGCCUCGGAUUGGUCUCGGCCCGCUCUUUACCGGGCGGCGCCGUUGGUCGAGAAGACGCUCGAACUUGAUCGUUUAGAGGAAGUAAAAGUCGUAACA
Molecule: ribosomal RNA, 334 nt
Filed under: uncultured eukaryote
Lineage: Eukaryota
Description: partial 18S ribosomal RNA
Rfam family: Eukaryotic small subunit ribosomal RNA
Source: RNAcentral